This 249-nucleotide unclassified non-coding RNA is filed under the name uncultured fungus. RNAcentral's name for it is "sequence contains ITS1, 5.8S rRNA gene". The stretch from base 201 to 249 matches the Rfam family "5.8S ribosomal RNA", at positions 1 to 49 of the family's 154-position model. Lineage: Eukaryota; Fungi. The record is from RNAcentral.
UUUCCGUAGGUGAACCUGCGGAAGGAUCAUUACCGAGUAAGGGUCUUCAUGGCCCGACCUCCCACCCUUUGUUGUCGAACAAAAAUUGUACUGCCUUGACGGGGCUGCUACCUGGUCUUGCACCAGGAAAGCGUCCGUCAGGGUAUACCUUUAAAACACUUUGUUAAAACCUUUGUCUGAGUCUAAUGAUAAAUUAUCAAAACUUUCAACAACGGAUCUCUUGGUUCUGGCAUCGAUGAAGAACGCAGC